AUGUCUGGGAAACUGCCUGAUGGAGGGGGAGUAACUACUGGAAACGGUAGCUAAUACCGCAUAACGUCGCAAGACCAAAGAGGGGGACCUUCGGGCCUCUUGCCAUCAGAUGUGCCCAGAUGGGAUUAGCUAGUAGGUGGGGUAACGGCUCACCUAGGCGACGAUCCCUAGCUGGUCUGAGAGGAUGACCAGCCACACUGGAACUGAGACACGGUCCAGACUCCUACGGGAGGCAGCAUG
RNAcentral lists this ribosomal RNA (240 nucleotides) under uncultured bacterium. Its description in RNAcentral is "partial 16S ribosomal RNA". It matches the Rfam family "Bacterial small subunit ribosomal RNA", at positions 113 to 353 of the family's 1533-position model. The record is from RNAcentral.